AGAAUCAACGCUGGCGGCGUGCCUCAGACAUGCAAGUCGAACGAUUAAAGCUCUCUUCGGAGAGUGUAUAGAGUGGCGCACGGGUGAGUAACACGUAAGUAAUCUACCUUCGAGUGGGGAAUAACAUCGGGAAACCGAUGCUAAUACCGCAUAAUGCAGCGGCAUCGCAAGAUGACAGUUGUUAAAGAUUUAUCGCUUGGAGAGGAGCUUGCGGCAGAUUAGCUAGUUGGUAAGGUAAUGGCUUACCAAGGCUACGAUCUGUAACCGGUCUAAGAGGACGGUCGGUCACACUGACACUGAAUAACGGGUCAGACUCCUACGGGAGGCAGCAGUACGGGUAAGUUUUGGGACAAGUAGGGGGAAACCCUGACCCAGGACCAACGCCGCGUGGAAAGGUAGUAGGUAAGUUAGUUUUACGGUAUAGUUAAACUUACGAAAGAAGUAAGGAAGAAAUAAAUGAACGUAUUAA
RNAcentral lists this ribosomal RNA (469 nucleotides) under uncultured soil bacterium. RNAcentral's name for it is "bacterial SSU rRNA". It matches the Rfam family "Bacterial small subunit ribosomal RNA", at positions 26 to 489 of the family's 1533-position model. The record is from RNAcentral.